RNAcentral lists this ribosomal RNA (468 nucleotides) under uncultured bacterium. Its description in RNAcentral is "partial 16S ribosomal RNA". It matches the Rfam family "Bacterial small subunit ribosomal RNA", at positions 28 to 507 of the family's 1533-position model. The record is from RNAcentral.
GACGAACGCUGGCGGCGUGCUUAACACAUGCCAGUCGAACGGAAAGGCCCUGCUUUUGUGGGGUGCUCGAGUGGCGAACGGGUGAGUAACACGUGAGUAACCUGCCCUUGACUUUGGGAUAACUUCAGGAAACUGGGGCUAAUACCGGAUAGGAGCUCCUGCUGCAUGGUGGGGGUUGGAAAGUUUCGGCGGUUGGGGAUGGACUCGCGGCUUAUCAGCUUGUUGGUGGGGUAGUGGCUUACCAAGGCUUUGACGGGUAGCCGGCCUGAGAGGGUGACCGGCCACAUUCGGACUGAGAUACGGCCCAGACUCCUACGGUAGGCAGCAGUAGGGAAUAUUGCAGAAUGGUCGGAAGACUGAUGCAGCAACGCCGCGUGCGGGAUGACGGCCUUCGGGGUGUAACCCGCUUUGGACUGUGUCGAAGAGUGAGUGACGGUAAUGGGUAAGUAAGCACCGGCUAACUACGUG